GACCCGAGGCAAUGCCCCAGAACGUGCAGACGAUCAGCGUCGCCACCGCGAGCGAGGCAGGCACGCGGCGGAACGCAAGCUGGAUCGAGUAGAACAUCUUGUCCACCAGCGCGCCGCGCUCCAUCACGUAACCCAUGAGGACGAACAGCGGGAUGGAGAUCAGGACGUCGUUGGUCAUCGCGCCGUAGGUGCGCUGGACCAUCAGGUCGAAGAUAUGGUUGUCGGCCCAG
This 230-nucleotide unclassified non-coding RNA is filed under the name Hevea brasiliensis (rubber tree). Lineage: Eukaryota; Viridiplantae; Streptophyta; Magnoliopsida; Malpighiales; Euphorbiaceae. The record is from RNAcentral.